This 207-nucleotide ribosomal RNA is filed under the name uncultured bacterium. RNAcentral's name for it is "partial 16S ribosomal RNA". It matches the Rfam family "Bacterial small subunit ribosomal RNA", at positions 568 to 774 of the family's 1533-position model. The record is from RNAcentral.
CGUGUAGGCGGCCCCUUAAGUCCUGCGUGAAAUCCUGCGGCUCAACCGCAGACGGUCGUGGGAAACUGGAGGGCUAGAGUGCGGGAGAGGAGAGUGGAAUUCCCGGUGUAGCGGUGAAAUGCGCAGAUAUCGGGAAGAACACCCGUGGCGAAGGCGGCUCUCUGGAACGCAACUGACGCUGAGACGCGAAAGCGUGGGGAGCAAACA